RNAcentral lists this ribosomal RNA (253 nucleotides) under uncultured bacterium. Its description in RNAcentral is "partial 16S ribosomal RNA". It matches the Rfam family "Bacterial small subunit ribosomal RNA", at positions 524 to 776 of the family's 1533-position model. The record is from RNAcentral.
GACGUAGGAUGCGAGCGUUGUCCGGAUUUAUUGGGCGUAAAGAGUUCGUAGGUGGUUCAUUAAGUCUGGUGUUAAAGACCGGGGCUCAACCUCGGGAUCGCACUGGAUACUGGUGGACUGGAGUGCAGUAGAGGCAAGCGGAAUUCCAGGUGUAGCGGUGAAAUGCGUAGAUAUCUGGAAGAACACCGGUGGCGCAAGCGGCUUGCUGGGCUGUAACUGACACUGAGGAACGAAAGCUAGGGGAGCAAAUGGG